CCUUGGUUGGCUCAGUUGGUAGAGCAUGUGACUCUUGAUCUCAGGGUUGUGAAUUCAAGUCCCACACCAAGUG
This 73-nucleotide transfer RNA is filed under the name Mustela putorius furo (domestic ferret). It matches the Rfam family "tRNA". From Rfam's summary of the family: Transfer RNA (tRNA) molecules are approximately 80 nucleotides in length. Their secondary structure includes four short double-helical elements and three loops (D, anti-codon, and T loops). The record is from Rfam by way of RNAcentral. Lineage: Eukaryota; Metazoa; Chordata; Mammalia; Carnivora; Mustelidae.